Molecule: unclassified non-coding RNA, 300 nt
Filed under: Hevea brasiliensis (rubber tree)
Lineage: Eukaryota; Viridiplantae; Streptophyta; Magnoliopsida; Malpighiales; Euphorbiaceae
Source: RNAcentral
GUUUGAGAUCAUUCAUUACAAAUUAAUAGAUGGAAAAGAAACAGAGAACCCAUUUGUAGCAUGGGAAAGAAGAUGAAUGAAAAACCAAAGAUUUGUUUUCUCGGCAAACCAAACAGAAAAUAUGAGGAAAACCAACCAAAGCAUCAAAAUAAAUAAAAGUGAAUGGGAAAAAGCUUGAAAAAGUAGUUAAUAAAAUUGAAAAAGAAAAAGCAUUUAAUUUUCCUAAAUAAGAUAAAUGAUCGAUCCAAUCAUAAAAUCAAUAUGUGGGUGAGUAUCAAACAGAAAGACCCAGAAAGAUUA